RNAcentral lists this long non-coding RNA (610 nucleotides) under Medicago truncatula (barrel medic). RNAcentral's name for it is "lncRNA gene21157". Lineage: Eukaryota; Viridiplantae; Streptophyta; Magnoliopsida; Fabales; Fabaceae. The record is from RNAcentral.
UUCAAAACCUCUUUCUCUAAAUCCAUUAACUAAUCACAAAUUCAACAUAACAAAAUUGAACUAUAUAUAUAUAUAUACAUGAACUCUCUAUAUAUAUAUAUAUAGAGAGAGAGGGGGGUGAGAGAGAGGUAGAGAGAAUUGUAGAAACCUGAUUUUGAAGAACUACUUUCACAAGAAGAAACUCCAAAAGAAACAGCAUCAGUACUAUCCACAAUUUCCUGGCCAGUGCUUUCGUUUCCGGUACCGAUUUCAUGCUCAACUCUGAUCGAUUGAUCGCUCGAAGAAGAUGAACCGGAAGAAUAACGCCAGCAAUUCUCCGGCAAUUCCGCCAUUAAUUGCCACCGUCGUGUAUGACGCGCGCGGGAAAGUGACUAUCAAUUUGUCGUUAGGGGAGUUUGUUUGGUGAAACCACUAUAUUACUAUAUCUGGUGCUUCCCUUUAUGUAAAAAUCAAACCGGACUGAUUGGACCAAACCGGACCGGAUUAGAUGGUUUAUUGAGUAAAUCAGUUAGUUAGUCAUUGAAAUACUUAUAUUUUCAAAGGAUGUUUAAAUUUAUCAUUAAACAUUUUUUUAAAUUUAAUCACUUAGAUAAUUAUAUUUUAAUAAUUU